RNAcentral lists this ribosomal RNA (497 nucleotides) under uncultured bacterium. Its description in RNAcentral is "partial 16S ribosomal RNA". It matches the Rfam family "Bacterial small subunit ribosomal RNA", at positions 28 to 507 of the family's 1533-position model. The record is from RNAcentral.
GAUGAACGCUGGCGGCGUGCCUAAUACAUGCAAGUCGAGCGAAAAGACGAGGAGCUUGCGCCUCUGACGUUAGCGGAGGACGGGUGAGUAACACGUGGAAAACCUACCUAUAAGACUGGGAUAACUUCGGGAAAGCGGAGCUAAUACCGGAGAAUAUAUUGAACCGCAUGGGGGAAUAGUGAAAGACGGUGUUGGGGUCAGGUAUAGAUGGAUCCGCGCCGCAUUAGCUAGUUGGUAAGGUAAAGGCUUACCAAGGCGACGAUGCGUAGCCGACCUGAGAGGCUGGUCGCCCGCCCUGGAGCUGAGCCGCCGUCCAGGCGCCUGCGGGAGGCCCCAGUAGCGUAUCUUCCGCAGUGGGCGGGAGCCUGGCGGAGCGACGCCACGUGUGUGAUGACAGUCUUCCGAUCGUAAAGCUCUGUUACGAGUUAAAAACCACUGUCUAAGUAGCCAUGCCCUUCGUGACGGUACCUAGUCAGAAAGCCCCGGCUAACUACGUG